CAGAGAAUAGUUUAAGUUAAAAUUAUAAUUUUGGAGAUUAUAGAUGGGAGGAUUUCUUUCUCUGA
Molecule: transfer RNA, 65 nt
Filed under: Polyphylla laticollis mandshurica
Lineage: Eukaryota; Metazoa; Arthropoda; Insecta; Coleoptera; Scarabaeidae
Description: tRNA-Pro
Source: RNAcentral